GUAGCAAUACACUGCCAGUAAGGUGCUGCAUGACCGUCGUCAGCUCGUGCCGUGAGGUGUUGGGUUAAGUCCCGCUACGAGCGCAACCCCUAUCUUUAGUUGCCAACAGGUAAUGCUGGGAACUCUAAAGAAACUGCCGCCGUAAGGUGUGAGGAAGGAGGGGAUGAUGUCAGGUCAUCAUGGCCUUUAUGCCCAGGGCUACACACGUACUACAAUGGGGGAGACAAAGGGCUGCAACAUAGCGAUAUGAAGCCAAUCCCAAAAACUCCCUCUCAGUUCAGAUUGCAGGCUGCAACUCGCCUGCAUGAAGCUGGAAUCGCUAGUAAUCGUAUAUCAGCAAUGAUACGGUGAUACGUUCCCGGACCUUGUACACACCGCCCGUCACACCAUGGGA
Molecule: ribosomal RNA, 394 nt
Filed under: uncultured Bacteroidota bacterium
Lineage: Bacteria; Pseudomonadati; Bacteroidota
Description: bacterial SSU rRNA
Rfam family: Bacterial small subunit ribosomal RNA
Source: RNAcentral